AAAAGUUCAUCGCUGUAUAUGUUUAUGUAUAUACAUCGCUGUAUAUGUUUAAGGUGACAACCAUCUUAAGUAUUCUUUAAGAAAAUAUAUUUAAGCCAUAUUUCCAUCUGACACAAAGGCUUGACUACCUCGGUUAAAAUACGCUGUUUGAGGUCUUGCAUUUUAUAAGAUCAGUAUACGAACUCUUUCAUGUGAAACAACGAAUAAAAAGAAAAAGAUCUUGCUGAUGACUUAGGGUAUACCUUCGGCUUUGAGACAGGUCUGCCCUCUUAGCUUGUGUCGGCACAAUAAAAUGAGUUUUCAUCGCCCUCUGCAGGUUAAAAGACGAAUACAUGAUACAUGCGGGUUCAAAGAGUAGGCGUAUAGGGGUUCAAAUACCUUCACUUGUCGUGUAAAUGUAACAGUGUGACAUGUACACUACUAAAUUUCACUACAAUAGUAUAUUUUUUGUGCUAAAAAUUGUCUAAAGGAAUGCCACUGGAAUUUCUGUGAUCAUUAAGAAUCAAUCCAAACAAAAAUAAAACAAUUAAAUAACACCACGCGACUCAUUUGGUUAUUUUGUCAGUUCUAAUUUUGAGCCCUUAAUUGUAUAUUAACCUAUGACAUGUAACUUCUUGCGCCAGUUAAAGGUAACUCGCUUGUGUUUGGCUCUAAAGCUGUGAUUUACCGCCAUUUUUUAAAAGCGCGUCUCUGUAGCAACUGCACAAACACUGAUACAUUGUAGCAAAAGUUUAUACAGUAGAGACACUUUUAAAGUUCUAUUUUUUUCUAUCUUUAGAACGCGCUGUACGUAGACUGCUCUACACACAACUAAUACAGCCAGUCUCACAGCUGCGAGGACGGAACGACUCAGACUCAAGAUGUCUCAGACAGACAGUGAUUAGUCCGUGACAGUGGAGCAGCUGGAAGAAGAACUGUCUGCUCACAUUCAGACUCUGAAGACAAUGAGAUUUUACACCAAAUAUCCUCAAAACUAUAUAAGCGAGACAGCUGCUGGUGUUCUCCCUCAUUACACAGAAGUGCUGCUCAUGUUCAGAGCUCUGGAGGAAAAGGAAUGUCACCAGGCUCAGCACACUGCAGAUUGUUUCUGCUCGGCUGGGGAAUCCGAACACUUCCUUCAGUCCAUGGGCGUCGCUAGACCAUUUUUAGGGGGUCUGUAG
Molecule: long non-coding RNA, 1160 nt
Organism: Cyprinus carpio (common carp)
Lineage: Eukaryota; Metazoa; Chordata; Actinopteri; Cypriniformes; Cyprinidae
Source: Ensembl